CCAUAAAUUACACAUGCAAUCGCCAUAAACUUAUCAGAGAAGGAUUAUUGCAAGGCAAAUGCUAUUAGGGACCAUCAAACUAACAAACUCCACUACCAAUUUGAAAAUUAAGAUUUUGCUGAUGUUAAACCCUAAUAGCAUUGUUAUACCCAGAAGCUCCGAGACUGAAAACCGAUAGAAAGAAUAGGCUGAAGUUAAAGAUUGAAGCCUACCUGAAACUUGAAUUCAUUAAGUGUUAGUGAUCAAUCAAUGUCUUCCAUGGUAGAACCUUCUAUGUUCAUUGGUUGUUCUUAAUCUGAUCACAAACAUAACACAUACACAAGGCACUGACUGAUCAAAAGGGCUCAAGGAGCAUCAUUGAUUUACAUAGGAUAAAUAGAAAUUUUACCUUCAUUUUUGGCUUCUCCUUUGUAACAACAUCAUUGACCUCAAGCAACAUGAAAAGUCCCUCCAACUGUGAUGCCUCAAUAGCAGUAGUUUCUGCUAUUCACAACAUAAAAGGUGUAAAAUAUGCGAACUAGGGUUAUUAAGUAAAAAUGAACAAAACAAAGCACACCAAUAUCUUUCUUAAUAUCAUAAUGCAGCCAGGUUCUUGUGCAUAUCAAUGCUUCAACUAUUUUAUUAUGCAGUCGGCUAUGAUGAGGAUCAAGUAAUCAACCCCCUAAAUUGAAGGUCGAUUCUGAAGCAACAUAUGUGAUUGGCACAACAAAGAAAUCCCUAGCAAUAUCCCUUAACGUAGGGUAAUAAGGGGACUGUACUUUCCACCAUUGUAAGAUGUCAAACUUUGGUGAGUUAGGCUCAAGAUCAUCUCCCAAAUAGUGAUCUAAUUCUGACUGGACCAUAGAAACUUUCAAUUUCUUCUUUUGGCUAACAUAACACUCAAAAUCAGCUCUAGAACUUGAAAAAGAUGAGCUACUGAAACACUAACUAGAUGCUGAGGUUGUAAUAGAGGAUUUUCCAACAACAACCCUAUUCAUGUUUUGGUAUCCCCGAACCAAUUCAAACACCAAAUUCCUCACACUAUUCGAAUGGAGGCUAGGUUCAAAACUACCGAACUUUGCAGCAUAAAAAUCAAUGAUUUCUAACUUCAUCCUUGGAUCAAGUACCGCUGUCACACUCAGUAAAUCAUGCAAAUCAUUCCAAUACUUUUGGAAUUUCAAAUCCAUCUUGAUAGCCAUGUUACUAAUACCUGGAUUUGGGUAAGCCUUCCACUCAAACAAUGUCAAUUUCAAAUCACAAACAUCGAAAAAAAGGUUUGAAAUAGGGUAAUUAUUUCCAAAACAAAGCUCAGUUGUGGGUUUAAAAACUGCCAACUUCGCAUAUACUAUAGCAGCAAAUUCCCAAUCAGAAUCAGUCGGACAAGUAGUAUAGGAAGGUUCCCUCUAAGCCACCCUUUUGAACACAUUUCUAUUAGGUAUAAUAAUUUCAAGCAUGGUAUGUGUGUUGUUCUACCUAGUUGGACAGUCUAAAACUAAUUGUUUCUCAUCAGAAAUUUGCAAUUGCUUAGCAGUUUUGAUGAACAUUUCAAGCCUUCUAGGUGUAGUAAGCCAGAAUGCAACACUUUCGUGUAUCUUAACUGUUCCAUCCUUGAUAACAAGAAGGUCAUCCCUUACUAUGAGAUUGAGUAUGUGAGCGGUGCAUCUCAUAUGUAACAUAUCACCUUCCCUAAUAAAAAAUGCUGAUAGAAGUUUAGGUUUCACCUUAUCCAUCAUCGAAUCAUUUGUCGAGUAGUUGUCCAACGUAAUGGUACUGAUCUUCAAAUCAAUUCUAAUCCAUGAGGCACUUUAGUAGUAUACUAGCCAACCGAUCGGCAGUAUGAGGUGCAGGGACAUAACAAAACCUACAAUUUUAAUAAAAAGUUACUUUGUUAGUACAAUUUCAAUUGAUUAAUCGUACACAAAAUGAAAGCAAUAAAAAUUUAAGCUAAACAAGGACAUAAUACCUUAGUAGAUGACUACGAAGAGUCCAAAUAUUGUCGAAGUAAUGACCAGUAACGGCCAUAUAUCCCUAUUUUAUUCGAUGCAGUGCAAAGGUAUGUAGUAAUUGCAAUCUUUCCCAAAUUAUGAUCUAUAUUCCUCUGGAUUUUUCUCCUUUCAAUCUGGUACAGUUUUAGAAUCUCCUUCUUCAUUGUAUUUGGACAAGGUAAUUAAAAUUGAGGCUGCAGGGUGGCUAUGAAUCUCUUUAAGUAUAGGUGAUCCACUAUACUAAGUGGAUACUCGUGUAUGACGAUUGCAAUGCUCAAAAGCUGCCUCGAUAGUUCACUGUUAAAGCUCAUUGCAGAUACCUCCUUCUUUCCCCUAGUUAGGUAAUUAGGACCAAGCACCUUUUGUUUCCCAUCCUUGAUCUUCUUUUGCAAACAAGAGGUUAUAUGACUCCUUAAAUCUGAUGUACUAUUGGUGGAGUGACCAAUAAGGUAUUUCUUACACCAGUUAUAUUGUUCUUUGACCUUUCUUUUGUACCACACUUUAAUAAAAUCAACCCAUAUAUUGCUAGUCAAUCUUCCACCAACAAUUUGACCAUCGGCUGCAGGAACAGCAACAUCACCUUGAUCUUCUUGAGCAGCAAGUGCAUCAUUGACAAUGUUAUGAUUUUAAGCAUUAUCAUCAUUGCCAUCUUGGCCGUCCAUUCCUAUUCCAUUAUUGACAUAAUUUAAAAUUAUAAUCCAGUAAUCCACUAACAUAAACCUAAGAACUUAAAGUCAUAAUCAAAACCCUACAAAAUGAAACCUACUAUAAAUAUCAUAAAGUAAUUACCUUGUUAGGUUUGAAUAAGAACAGGAAUUGGCAGAAUUCAAUUAUGUAUACCUGCAAAGUUCAAUCCAAUUAGAUUAGGGGUAGGGAAAUACACAAAUUAGGGAAGUUUGGCAUUGAAAUUGACACUUGAAUCUUCAAACCUACUUACCCAAACAGAGAUGGAAAGAUGAAGAUUGAAGAGAUGGAAUCGAGUAAUCAACAUGCACAACCUUCUCUUCUCUUAUAUGCAUCCGCAUCACCCAACUCAUAUAUCAAGAAUCCAAUCUUGGAAGUAGGGAGACCAUGUUUGGUUGGGAGACAGACGAAAAGAAUGUGUCAAAGAGUGGAAUCGUCGGCCGCUGUAGAGGGAUAAUCGAGAACAGAAGCAAGGAAGUUGGAGAGCCAAAUUUCUGAAAUUAGGGUUAAUUACUCAAUUUGAUAUGGGGUAUUAU
RNAcentral lists this long non-coding RNA (3184 nucleotides) under Linum usitatissimum (flax). RNAcentral's name for it is "long non-coding RNA (LUSI_LNC005252)". The record is from RNAcentral. Lineage: Eukaryota; Viridiplantae; Streptophyta; Magnoliopsida; Malpighiales; Linaceae.